GGUAAUAUGGCUGAAUUAUAGGCAGUAAAUUGUAAAUUUACUUAUGGAGUUUCUUCUAUUACCA
Molecule: transfer RNA, 64 nt
Filed under: unidentified
Description: Borboresthes tibialis tRNA-Tyr
Source: RNAcentral